AAGCCUCCGGCCCUUGUAGCAGCUUAGCACUGAAUUAAGACAGACAAUUAGUAUGUAGCAGUCAGUAGAGGCUGAGUGUACAGAACACAGAGUGGUGAGGACCUGGGAACAAGGCGAACUGAGGAUGCUGGUCAAUGACAAAUGCACGCCAGGCACUGAGAAGAAGGGUGUCUGUGCUCUGCCUUAGUAGGAAACCACCACAGAGAGUUUGAUGAUUUUUUUUUCCCCCCAGAAGAGAAAAGAAAACAUACAGAAAGAGGAAAAAACAAAGCAGCAUCAGUGGAAAUGAAAUGCCUGGGAGCAAUGACUGAGGCAACCUUAAGCACUGCUGUGAGGGAGAAGGAAAUGGUUUGCCUGAGCUGAUCAUGCAGAAAAAAAAAAAAACCCAACAGCAAAGGAAACAGCAUUUCUAGGAGGCACAGACUGGAGGAGAUGGAUCACAGGGUGAAGUAUCAGUUUACUCAUGCAGUCUGUUCCCAAGGCAGAGGCCAGUUUUGCUGACAUAUGUGCCCACUUAGAUGCAGAGUCUCAGGACCGAACAAAAGGCUGCUACGCUCAAAACGUGUGGACAUGCCUGCCACAUGAAGUGCAAAAUUCAAAGAGCAAAAGGGGCAGCCUCCCAAGUGCUGAAGAUGGAUUGCACGGUAACAGAAAGAAAAAAAAAAACCAAAAAACAAAAGAAAGAGAGAGUUCAAAAUGAGAGGAGCUGAUGCUUACAACUGAACUAAGCCUCAUGUUUCCUCCUGUAAGAUGAUGUCCAUUUCUUCCUCCCUCAAGCCCCCAAAUAAUUUCAGUUUCACAGUGUACCCAGUAAUGGCACUUUUGCCCUGUAUUUCUCAUGCCUGAGAUGUAACAGAUGCUCCCAACCAGGCGUGCUGGCUAGUUAAACAUGGCACAUCCAGUGCUGCCAUUCCCAGAAGGUCUGAUGAGGACUUCACUUCUACAUUUACAGGAGGUUCUACCACAUUAAAACCUCGUGGUUUUAUUUUUCAGGGACAAAACUUGCAGGCUGGCAAGCAAUGAAGCUCUUGCAUGUGGCUAUAAAAACAGGUAAAUAAAAUAUUCCAUAGGAAAAGAAAAUAUGAGCAAUGGGAGCUAUUAAAAUUGCUGCCCAUUCCUGGCAGCUUCUGACCACAUGGACCAAUUUCCAGUCUUCCUUCCUUCAGUGCCAUUAUGUAACGGAGAGAUUUAAUAAACAUUUCACAGCCAAAACAGUCCUUGUCUCCUUGAUGCAUUGUCUUCACCACUGCAGCUAAGAGAAUUUGCAGGAGGAUGCAGACCCGACUCUUGAUGUUCUCAGAGUUUUUAACUAAAGGGAAUUUAGGAAAAAAAUCAAAAGACUCAUCCAACUUCACAGACCUUGCCUUUACACAAGACAGACUUUGGCUGAAUAAUGGCAACGCAACAACAACAAAACAGAAAGCUCUAGAUACACUAGCAACUCUAAAGUAAACAAAAUUUAACGUAAAAGCACUGAUGAAAAUCCUCAAAGAAAAUGGCUAUAAAACCAGUGAUUGGAAACGAUGCUGACAGCAUUAAUACAACUAACCUUCAGCCACAGGUUGUAAUUUGAUUUUGUUGUUGCAUUAUUAUGAUUUCUUAAUAGAGAAAUGGUGUUUGCUUUAAAAAUAGAACAAAAUAAAAACCUUUAAUAAUUCUUAUCAAUCCAAAAUCUUACCAGACUCUCUUAUGACUUCUCUUCGCAGUUAUUCAAUAGUACUAAAAAGUUGUAUGAUGGGACAGAAAUCACU
Long non-coding RNA from Aquila chrysaetos chrysaetos, 1751 nucleotides. RefSeq lists it as uncharacterized. The transcript has 3 exons. The record is from RefSeq and is a predicted model, not a curated record. NCBI's taxonomy places the organism in Eukaryota, Metazoa, Chordata, Aves, Accipitriformes, Accipitridae.